RNAcentral lists this unclassified non-coding RNA (375 nucleotides) under Hevea brasiliensis (rubber tree). Lineage: Eukaryota; Viridiplantae; Streptophyta; Magnoliopsida; Malpighiales; Euphorbiaceae. The record is from RNAcentral.
UGCUACAAACACUGAAAUUAAAUCUAAAGGUAAGGUAAAAUAAAGUAUAAGGCUCCAUGUUUUGUUUUUUUCUUUUAAUUAGUCAAGAAAUUGCUUGUUUCACUGGGAGAUAUUCUUUUUGAAGAAAAAUGUUGGAUUUUUUUUCUAUGCUAAAGCAAACGAUAUAUGUAUUAUAUUAUCCGAUUUAUUAUUAGGGAAUGUUAUUUCUAUAUGUUUGUUAAGGGAAUGUUAUUUCUAUAUGUUUGUUAAUCGAGUAAAUCCUUCCACAGAACUACAGUUAAAAUGUAAUUGCUUAAAAUUGUAGUUUUAUUAGUACAAUAUGUCCAAGAAGAAUGAAAUCCCAAUGGUUUUUCAUGCCUUUACAACCAAUAUCUU